This 460-nucleotide ribosomal RNA is filed under the name uncultured bacterium. Its description in RNAcentral is "partial 16S ribosomal RNA". It matches the Rfam family "Bacterial small subunit ribosomal RNA", at positions 338 to 795 of the family's 1533-position model. The record is from RNAcentral.
CCUACGGGAGGCAGCAGUGAGGAAUAUUGGUCAAUGGACGAGAGUCUGAACCAGCCAAGUAGCGUGAAGGAUGACUGCCCUAUGGGUUGUAAACUUCUUUUAUAUGGGAAUAAAAUGUUCCACGUGUGGGAUUUUGUAUGUACCAUAUGAAUAAGGAUUGGCUAACUCCGUGCCAGCAGCCGCGGUAAUACGGAGGAUCCGAGCGUUAUCCGGAUUUAUUGGGUUUAAAGGGAGCGUAGGUGGAUUGUUAAGUCAGUGGUGAAAGUUUGCGGCUCAACCGUAAAAUUGCAGUUGAAACUGGCAGUCUUGAGUGCAGUAGAGGUGGGCGGAAUUCGUGGUGUAGCGGUGAAAUGCUUAGAUAUCACGAAGAACUCCGAUUGCGAAGGCAGUUCACUGGACUGCAACUGACACUGAGGCUCGAAAGUGUGGGUAUCAAACAGGAUUAGAUACCCCAGUAGUC